Molecule: small nuclear RNA, 332 nt
Filed under: Microtus ochrogaster (prairie vole)
Lineage: Eukaryota; Metazoa; Chordata; Mammalia; Rodentia; Cricetidae
Description: 7SK RNA (ENSMOCG00000005610.1)
Rfam family: 7SK RNA
About the family: 7SK was discovered as an abundant small nuclear RNA in the mid-70s but a possible function has only recently been suggested. Two independent studies have found that 7SK RNA binds the CDK9/cyclin T complex (known as elongation factor P-TEFb). P-TEFb activates transcription by phosphorylating the C-terminal domain of RNA polymerase II.
Source: RNAcentral
AUGGGGGCAAUGUGGUUGUUACAUCUCUCAUCUCAUUGUCUGUCACCAUUGAUAUGACUAAUCCAUCUGGAAAAGACCGGUGUCCUCUUCCUUCUACCUCAUCCUCAAAUGUGUGUACACCUCCCCAAACUGUCCACUUGAGGAAAAGGGAGCAUCCUCAAAUAAGCAGGACUAUUCUUCAAUCAAUGUCAUACCAAUAGCUGUAAACCUACACAAGAAACCCCAAAGAGUGUCCUCAUGCCUCAAAGUGAAAACAGUAGGAAGACGCACAGAUGUACGUGUUUAGCAGAAAGAAAGCCCUUGCCAGACAUCAGAAUCAUUAGCUCUUUGCU